GAUGAACGCUGGCGGCGUGCCUAAUACAUGCAAGUCGAGCGAACGGACGAGAAGCUUGCUUCUCUGAUGUUAGCGGCGGACGGGUGAGUAACACGUGGAUAACCUACCUAUAAGACUGGGAUAACUUCGGGAAACCGGAGCUAAUACCGGAUAAUAUUUUGAACCGCAUGGUUCAAAAGUGAAAGACGGUCUUGCUGUCACUUAUAGAUGGAUCCGCGCUGCAUUAGCUAGUUGGUAAGGUAACGGCUUACCAAGGCAACGAUGCAUAGCCGACCUGAGAGGGUGAUCGGCCACACUGGAACUGAGACACGGUCCAGACUCCUACGGGAGGCAGCAGUAGGGAAUCUUCCGCAAUGGGCGAAAGCCUGACGGAGCAACGCCGCGUGAGUGAUGAAGGUCUUCGGAUUGUAAAACUCUGUUAUUAGGGAAGAACAUAUGUGUAAGUAACUGUGCACAUCUUGACGGUACCUAAUCAGAAAGCCACGGCUAACUACGUGCCAGCAGCCGCGGUAAUACGUAGGUGGCAAGCGUUAUCCGGAAUUAUUGGGCGUAAAGCGCGCGUAGGCGGUUUUUUAAGUCUGAUGUGAAAGCCCACGGCUCAACCGUGGAGGGUCAUUGGAAACUGGAAAACUUGAGUGCAGAAGAGGAAAGUGGAAUUCCAUGUGUAGCGGUGAAAUGCGCAGAGAUAUGGAGGAACACCAGUGGCGAAGGCGACUUUCUGGUCUGUAACUGACGCUGAUGUGCGAAAGCGUGGGGAUCAAACAGGAUUAGAUACCCUGGUAGUCCACGCCGUAAACGAUGAGUGCUAAGUGUUAGGGGGUUUCCGCCCCUUAGUGCUGCAGCUAACGCAUUAAGCACUCCGCCUGGGGAGUACGACCGCAAGGUUGAAACUCAAAGGAAUUGACGGGGACCCGCACAAGCGGUGGAGCAUGUGGUUUAAUUCGAAGCAACGCGAAGAACCUUACCAAAUCUUGACAUCCUUUGACAACUCUAGAGAUAGAGCUUUCCCCUUCGGGGGACAAAGUGACAGGUGGUGCAUGGUUGUCGUCAGCUCGUGUCGUGAGAUGUUGGGUUAAGUCCCGCAACGAGCGCAACCCUUAAGCUUAGUUGCCAUCAUUAAGUUGGGCACUCUAAGUUGACUGCCGGUGACAAACCGGAGGAAGGUGGGGAUGACGUCAAAUCAUCAUGCCCCUUAUGAUUUGGGCUACACACGUGCUACAAUGGACAAUACAAAGGGCAGCGAAACCGUGAGGUCAAGCAAAUCCCAUAAAGUUGUUCUCAGUUCGGAUUGUAGUCUGCAACUCGACUACAUGAAGCUGGAAUCGCUAGUAAUCGUAGAUCAGCAUGCUACGGUGAAUACGUUCCCGGGUCU
This 1372-nucleotide ribosomal RNA is filed under the name uncultured bacterium. RNAcentral's name for it is "bacterial SSU rRNA". It matches the Rfam family "Bacterial small subunit ribosomal RNA", at positions 28 to 1381 of the family's 1533-position model. The record is from RNAcentral.